RNAcentral lists this ribosomal RNA (630 nucleotides) under uncultured Verrucomicrobium sp. RNAcentral describes it as "bacterial SSU rRNA". It matches the Rfam family "Bacterial small subunit ribosomal RNA", at positions 812 to 1440 of the family's 1533-position model. Lineage: Bacteria; Pseudomonadati; Verrucomicrobiota; Verrucomicrobiia; Verrucomicrobiales; Verrucomicrobiaceae. The record is from RNAcentral.
CACGCUUGGUGUGAGGGGAAUCGACCCCCCCUUGUGCCGGAGCUAACGCGUUAAGCGUGCCGCCUGGGAAGUACGGUCGCAAGACUAAAACUCAAAGAAAUUGACGGGGACCCGCACAAGCGGUGGAGUAUGUGGCUUAAUUCGAUGCAACGCGAAGAACCUUACCAAGGCUUGACAUGCAUCUCUAAACACGUGAAAGCGUGUGACCCUUCGGGGAAUUUGCACAGGUGCUGCAUGGCCGUCGUCAGCUCGUGUCGUGAGAUGUUGGGUUAAGUCCCGCAACGAGCGCAACCCUUGUGAUUAGUUGCCAGCACGUCAAGGUGGGAACUCUAGUCAGACUGCCCAGAUCAACUGGGAGGAAGGUGGGGACGACGUCAGGUCAGUAUGGCCCUUACGCCUUGGGCUGCACACGUACUACAAUGCCCAGCACAAUGAGAACCGAUACCGCGAGGUGGAGGAAAUCUGUAAAACUGGGCUCAGUUCGGAUUGGAGGCUGCAACUCGCCUCCAUGAAGUUGGAAUCGCUAGUAAUGGUGCAUCAUCUACGGCACCGUGAAUACAUUCCCGGGUCUUGUACACACCGCCCGUCACAUCAUGGAAGCCGGUUGCACCCGAAGUGCCCGUACCAACC